This 1371-nucleotide ribosomal RNA is filed under the name uncultured bacterium. RNAcentral's name for it is "bacterial SSU rRNA". It matches the Rfam family "Bacterial small subunit ribosomal RNA", at positions 28 to 1381 of the family's 1533-position model. The record is from RNAcentral.
GAUAAACGCUGGCGGCGUGCCUAAUACAUGCAAGUCGAGCGAACGGACGAGAAGCUUGCUUCUCUGAUGUUAGCGGCGGACGGGUGAGUAACACGUGGAUAACCUACCUAUAAGACUGGGAUAACUUCGGGAAACCGGAGCUAAUACCGGAUAAUAUUUUGAACCGCAUGGUUCAAAAGUGAAAGACGGUCUUGCUGUCACUUAUAGAUGGAUCCGCGCUGCAUUAGCUAGUUGGUAAGGUAACGGCUUACCAAGGCAACGAUGCAUAGCCGACCUGAGAGGGUGAUCGGCCACACUGGAACUGAGACACGGUCCAGACUCCUACGGGAGGCAGCAGUAGGGAAUCUUCCGCAAUGGGCGAAAGCCUGACGGAGCAACGCCGCGUGAGUGAUGAAGGUCUUCGGAUCGUAAAACUCUGUUAUUAGGGAAGAACAUAUGUGUAAGUAACUGUGCACAUCUUGACGGUACCUAAUCAGAAAGCCACGGCUAACUACGUGCCAGCAGCCGCGGUAAUACGUANGUGGCAAGCGUUAUCCGGAAUUAUUGGGCGUAAAGCGCGCGUAGGCGGUUUUUUAGUCUGAUGUGAAAGCCCACGGCUCAACCGUGGAGGGUCAUUGGAAACUGGAAAACUUGAGUGCAGAAGAGGAAAGUGGAAUUCCAUGUGUAGCGGUGAAAUGCGCAGAGAUAUGGAGGAACACCAGUGGCGAAGGCGACUUUCUGGUCUGUAACUGACGCUGAUGUGCGAAAGCGUGGGGAUCAAACAGGAUUAGAUACCCUGGUAGUCCACGCCGUAAACGAUGAGUGCUAAGUGUUAGGGGGUUUCCGCCCCUUAGUGCUGCAGCUAACGCAUUAAGCACUCCGCCUGGGGAGUACGACCGCAAGGUUGAAACUCAAAGGAAUUGACGGGGACCCGCACAAGCGGUGGAGCAUGUGGUUUAAUUCGAAGCAACGCGAAGAACCUUACCAAAUCUUGACAUCCUUUGACAACUCUAGAGAUAGAGCCUUCCCCUUCGGGGGACAAAGUGACAGGUGGUGCAUGGUUGUCGUCAGCUCGUGUCGUGAGAUGUUGGGUUAAGUCCCGCAACGAGCGCAACCCUUAAGCUUAGUUGCCAUCAUUAAGUUGGGCACUCUAAGUUGACUGCCGGUGACAAACCGGAGGAAGGUGGGGAUGACGUCAAAUCAUCAUGCCCCUUAUGAUUUGGGCUACACACGUGCUACAAUGGACAAUACAAAGGGCAGCGAAACCGCGAGGUCAAGCAAAUCCCAUAAAGUUGUUCUCAGUUCGGAUUGUAGUCUGCAACUCGACUACAUGAAGCUGGAAUCGCUAGUAAUCGUAGAUCAGCAUGCUACGGUGAAUACGUUCCCGGGUCU